CGUCGUUUAACAUGACCGUUCAAAUACCGUUGACGUUUGGACAAUGACGCUUACUCGAUCUCACGAGCUCGACAAGCGUGACUCGACGGGAUGAGAGGAAGCAUUAAAGUCGUUCGAUUCAGUAUCAAAAGGAAUGAGAGAAUGAGGCGAGAGAUCUAUGGUAGUACAUAAGAUUUGCUGCUGUAUAUCGAGAAGAAGAGAAAAUG
Long non-coding RNA from Polistes canadensis, 206 nucleotides. RefSeq lists it as uncharacterized. The record is from RefSeq and is a predicted model, not a curated record. The transcript is spliced from 3 exons. NCBI's taxonomy places the organism in Eukaryota, Metazoa, Arthropoda, Insecta, Hymenoptera, Vespidae.